This 30-nucleotide non-coding RNA is filed under the name Rattus norvegicus (Norway rat). Lineage: Eukaryota; Metazoa; Chordata; Mammalia; Rodentia; Muridae. The record is from RNAcentral.
UGUGUUGCUCCUUCACUUGGAAUCUACAAU